This 253-nucleotide ribosomal RNA is filed under the name uncultured bacterium. Its description in RNAcentral is "partial 16S ribosomal RNA". It matches the Rfam family "Bacterial small subunit ribosomal RNA", at positions 524 to 776 of the family's 1533-position model. The record is from RNAcentral.
UACGUAGGAUGCAAGCGUUGUCCGGAAUUAUUGGGCGUAAAGAGCGCGCAGGCGGUAUGACAAGUCAGAUGUGAAAGAGGCCGGCUUAACCGGCAAGGGUCAUUUGAAACUGUCAGACUAGAGUGCAGCAGAGGAUAGUGGAAUUCCCGGUGUAGUGGUGAAAUGCGUAGAUAUCGGGAGGAACACCAGUGGCGAAGGCGACUAUCUGGGCUGCAACUGACGCUGAGGCGCGAAGGCUAGGGUAGCAAACGGG